AAUCAGAAUGAAGAGGGGGCGGGAUCGGCGAAAACCACGUGAUCAUCCACGCGAGCAGUGCAGAGUCGCUGAGAUAAUAUGAACUGCAGAUGCCGGAGACUUCGACAUGAAACGGUGCAGAGCUGGAUGAACACAGCAGGUCAAGCAGCAUCAGAGGAGCAGGAAAGCUGACGUUUCGGGCCUUGAUUCUUCGCUGAGACCAAGAUUUGUGCAAUUGAGAUCAGAGCAGGACACGAUACCAGCGAUCGUUGCCAAAGCCCUGUUACCUGUGGAGAAGUUGAUGUUUGACUUUCGUGUCCUGCUGCAGCUUGUAUGAUGAAGGUACUCCCGCAAUUCGGACAUUUGAGAAGUUACAGAUCAUUUAUCUAGCGAUACUGAAGAGCUGACGGUAGUUGUUCAUGUGUGGAACAAACUUUCAGAGGAGUUGGUGGAUGCAGAUUUCCACAAUUUUACUUCUGCACUGUUCUUAGUCUUUCAGAGGGAUUGAAAGGUUGACUUACAGAUCUGUACAAUGCCUGUCCUUCCUCCCUGGCUGUCCCACCUCUCUUUCCGUAAUUUUGUGCAAACAGACUGGAUCGCUUACCCGGAUGAUAUUUAUUUGUGAAUGAAUUUGUUCUAAUGAUGAUCCAGCAUAUUUCCCAAGUGUCGCUCCACAAAUGUCCCGAGGAUUUCUCAGUUUCACAAUCUGUUAACUUCUGGUUUCUCACUCACUGCACUUACUUUCUGUUUGAAAGCUCAGUCUGCAGUUUGGAGAAUUCAAACUGUUCUACAUCCAGGUCUGACAGUCACUUUGUUUAUCACAACCCAACUAUCUCAGGAUUUUGAACAUUGAAGGAAAAUGCAGCACUCUCACGUUGGAGAAAUGUAAAUGGUUUGUGUGUCAAAGAGUCUGUGAAGAUUCAUCUGAAAUUCCUAACACCAACUCAGUUGUACUGGGGAGAGACUGUGGAAAUGUGCAGAUUACAGGAAGGAAUUUCUUCAUCCAUCCCAGCUAGAAACUGACCACCAGAAUCGCACUGGAGAGAGACCAUUCACCCGCUCUGAUUGUGGAAUGGGAUUCGCUCAGUCAUCUAACCUGUUUAAACACCAGGGAGUUCACACUGGAGAGAAACCAUUUACUUGCUUGGAAUGUGGGAAAGCAUUCACUCAGACACCUCAACUGCUGAUACACCAGCAAAUUCACACUGGAGAGAGACCAUUGGCCUGUUGUGUGUGGGAAAGGUUUUGCUGACUUGAAUUCCCCUCUGACACACCAGCAAGUUCACUCUGGGGAGAGACCAUUCAUGAGCUCUGAGUGUGGGAAAGCAUUCACUCAGUCAUCCAAACAAUCACAAAGAACUACAGUUGAAGCAUUUUGCUAUCACUCUCACGAUCAAAUGAACCAUGGUUUUGGGCUGUUUGUACUGAUGUUACUAAUCCCUGCUCAAUUAAAGGUGCUGCUAUUGUGAAUAAAAAUGUUAAUAACA
This is a long non-coding RNA of Stegostoma tigrinum, 1466 nucleotides long. RefSeq lists it as uncharacterized. The record is from RefSeq and is a predicted model, not a curated record. The transcript is spliced from 4 exons. NCBI's taxonomy places the organism in Eukaryota, Metazoa, Chordata, Chondrichthyes, Orectolobiformes, Stegostomatidae.